GCAGUGGUAGCUUAGUGGGUAAGAUGUUGGACUACCGCUCGGAAGGUUGUGAGUUCAAACCACAUGCCAAGCU
This is a non-coding RNA of Ameiurus melas (black bullhead), 73 nucleotides long. The record is from the annotation of a GenBank genome assembly. Lineage: Eukaryota; Metazoa; Chordata; Actinopteri; Siluriformes; Ictaluridae.